This 497-nucleotide ribosomal RNA is filed under the name uncultured bacterium. RNAcentral's name for it is "partial 16S ribosomal RNA". It matches the Rfam family "Bacterial small subunit ribosomal RNA", at positions 28 to 507 of the family's 1533-position model. The record is from RNAcentral.
GAUGAACGCUGGCGGCGUGCCUAAUACAUGCAAGUCGAGCGAACGGACGAGAAGCUUGCUUCUCUGAUGUUAGCGGCGGACGGGUGAGUAACACGUGGAUAACCUACCUAUAAGACUGGGAUAACUUCGGGAAACCGGAGCUAAUACCGGAUAAUAUUUUGAACCGCAUGGUUCAAAAGUGAAAGACGGUCUUGCUGUCACUUAUAGCUGGAUCCGCGCUGCAUUAGCUAGUUGGUAAGGUAACGGCUUACCAAGGCAACGAUGCAUAGCCUACCUGAGAGGGUGAUCGGCCACACUGGAACUGAGACACGGUCCAGACUCCUACGGGAGGCAGCAGUAGGGAAUCUUCCGCAAUGGGCGAAAGCCUGACGGAGCAACGCCGCGUGAGUGAUGAAGGUCUUCGGAUCGUAAAACUCUGUUAUUAGGGAAGAACAUAUGUGUAAGUAACUGUGCACAUCUUGACGGUACCUAAUCAGAAAGCCACGGCUAACUACGUG